GCUCAAGUGUUUGUUUAAGUGGCGUUUUGUGCCUAUAGGACACUGAGACUGGGUGUGAGGUUUUAGCCCAUAAAGGUUUUGUUGACUUGAAGAUGCGGUUGACUAAAAAUUAAAGCAAGGAAGCUAGGAAUUCCCCCACUUCGCUACCCCAUAAAUCGUCCUUUGAUGGUAUUACUUUACUCGUGGCGUCUGCUAUGUGUCUGUUCUCAAGGCGCUUCCUCAAAUUUAGAAGCAAAAAGACUUUAACAAGACAAAAAUCAAUAGCCUGUUAGUUUAGCAGUUGGAGUGGAAAUCAAUUAAGUCAGCUGAGGGAAAAAAAGUAAUAGGAUCUCUUCAAAAUCCAAAUCCAUAAUUUUUAAAGGACAGGGAAAAAGCUGGACCCCAAUUUUUUAACGUAAAAUAAUGAGAUGCUAUAAAGUGGGUGGCUGUAUAUUAAUUUGUUCAACUAAUUUUUAUUACAGUACUUAAGGGAAUAACCCUGACUUCAACGAACUCAACGAUUAGUACUUUGGGGCUGAUUACUUUUUUAGUCCUUUCAUAGGACCCA
This 547-nucleotide long non-coding RNA is filed under the name Bos taurus (domestic cattle). RNAcentral's name for it is "long non-coding RNA NONBTAT000383". The record is from RNAcentral. Lineage: Eukaryota; Metazoa; Chordata; Mammalia; Artiodactyla; Bovidae.